Non-coding RNA from Streptococcus iniae, 88 nucleotides. The record is from Rfam. NCBI's taxonomy places the organism in Bacteria, Bacillati, Bacillota, Bacilli, Lactobacillales, Streptococcaceae.
GGACGGACUUCUGGAGAGACCUUAAUAGGCGCCGAAGGGGCAAGGCUUUACUGCUCAAUCUCUCAGGCAAAAGGACAGAAGGUAACAA